AAGAUUAACUAUUACGAAAGUAUUUGCUAAGGAUAUUUUUAUUAAUUAGGAAUGAAAGUUAAGGGAUUGAAGAUAAUUAGAUAUUGUUGUAGUUUUAAUUAUAAAUUAUAUUGAUUAGGGAUUGGACGGUAUUAUUUUUUAACUUGUUUAGUACUUUAUAAUAAAUUAAAAUAUUUAGGCUCUUAGGGGAGUAUAAUUAUAAGGUUGAAAUUUAAAGAAAUUAACGGAAGGGUACUAUUAGGGGUGGAGUUUACGGUUUAAUUUAAUUUAAUAUAGGGAAACUUAUUAGGUCCAAAUACGAUGAGGAUUAAUAGAUUGAGAAUUCUUUCUUAAUUUCGUAGGUAGUAGUAUAUAGCUAUUCUUAGUUAGUAGAGUGAUUUGUUUGUUUAAUUAUAAUAAUAAACGAGACUUUAAUUUACUAAAUAGCUUAUAUUAUUUUGGUAAUACGCUAAUUUUUUAGAGGGAUUAUUAGUUUAAGCUAAUAGAAGUUUGAGGUAAUAAUAGGUUUAUAAUACCUUUAAAUAUUUUGGGCCGUACGUGCGCUAUACUAAUAUAGUUAGCGAGUAUUUCUUUAGCCGGAAGGUCCGGGUAAUUUUAUUAAAUUAUAUUGUAUUAGGGAUAGAGUAUUGCAAUUAUUACUCUUUAAUAAAGAAUCCCUAGUAAAUGUAAAUUAUUAGUUUAUAUUAAUUAUAUCCUUACCCUUUAUAUACACCGCCUGUUGUUACUACCGAUUAAAUAGUUUAGUAAAGUUUUUGGACUAGUUUAGGGAGGUUGGUAACGAUUACUUAAAGUUGGAAAACUAUUUAAAUUCGGUUAUUUAGAGGAAGUAAAAAUUAUAAUAAAAUUUCCGUUAGUAAAUUAGUAGAAGGAUUAUUA
This is a ribosomal RNA of Neurospora crassa OR74A, 876 nucleotides long. The record is from RefSeq and is a predicted model, not a curated record. NCBI's taxonomy places the organism in Eukaryota, Fungi, Ascomycota, Sordariomycetes, Sordariales, Sordariaceae.